Molecule: long non-coding RNA, 1346 nt
Filed under: Macaca fascicularis (crab-eating macaque)
Lineage: Eukaryota; Metazoa; Chordata; Mammalia; Primates; Cercopithecidae
Description: lncRNA (ENSMFAG00000059113.1)
Source: RNAcentral
UUUUUUUUUUUCUUUUUUUUUUUUUUUGGUAGAGACAGGGUAUCAACUUUAUUGCCUAGGUUGGUCUCAGGCUCUUAGCUUCAAGCGAUCCUCCUGCCUUGGCCUCCCAAAGUGUUGGGAUUAUAGGCAUGAGCCACUGUGCCUGGCCCUGAUGCUCUUUUUAAUACUGUAGAAUGGUAGGCAAAUGUCUUAGGCCCGUGUGUAUCUUUCUACCCUACCAGGAGGAAAAAGUAGUGUUGGAGACCUUCAGUUGUCUUUCAUUCCCCCAAGACAACUUCAUGUUUCAAAGGAUGAAGGUUCAAAGCUCUGAGCAAGAACCCCUUACUUAGACCCUUCCCCUAAGCAUUACUAACAGUAGCUAACAUUUAUAAUGCUUACUGUUCACCAGGCAUUGUUCCAAGCAGUUCACAUGGAUUCACUUAUUCAAGCCUCACAGCAGCCUUGAGAGUUCUAUUAUUUUUCCCAUUUUACAGCUGGGGAAACUGAGGCCCAGGGAUGAUCACACAGCUAGCCAGUGGCCAGUGCAUCUUACCUAGGCAGGCUGGCUCUGCAUUCUGUACUCUCUACCUCUCUGGCAUGCCUCCUGGAUCCCAGGUACCAUGAGCCCAUGUCCUAUUUCCUCCUGACCUUGAAGGAGCUGGAGGAGGAGGCCUUUGCAAGUGAGGGCUCGAGGCUGGUACUGAGGCAGCACCGCCUAAUUGGGACCUGGAUUAAUUCUCUUGCCUGCUGCUUGCCAAUCCCAUGGUUACUUCUUAUUCUGACUUGCUUAUUUCUGGGCCCUGGGGCUUGGCAAAGCAGAAGCCAGAGGUUUGCACAGUCUGCACAGGAAUGAGACAGACUCUUGCUCCUGUUCAUGAGCAUUAAACAUCUCAAGUGCUACCUUUUCCCCACCCCUUUCCCCCACUUCAUGCUUCUGGAUGGUGCUCAAACCCGCGAUGAUGCUGACUUACCGCUUGUUCCCUGGGCUGAUUUGGCUCUGUGCUGGGGAAGGGGUACAUGCUGCCUUUCUCUGGAGCACAGAAAACAGGCUGGCUUCUUCCUGUGUCGGGAAAACAGUUACCCAAAAGGGAAGUUUUGCUUUGAUGAACUGCCAAAGAUGUUCUCGAUGCAUUAUUGGACCGUCUUUUGCUCGGUUUAUUUUUUUUUCCUUAAUGAAUUCGGCUUUGGUUUAUGAGCCCGAGGGAGUUAAAGGAUUGUCCUCAAGAACACUGAUCAGGGUUGAAUUGCAUCUCUCACAGAUUCAUAUGUUGAAGUCCUAACCAGCAAUAGCUCCAAAUAGGACCUUAUUUGGAAAUAGGGUAGUUGGCGAUGUAAUUAGUUAAGAGGAGGUUGUACUGGAGUAGGGU